AUAAAGGUGAAAUGUGAGGAAGAAAAUGGUGCUUUUUAAAACAACCCCAUGCUGCGUUGUCUGACAAUAAUGACAGAGAAAGAGUGCUGACUAUGGCUCAGAUGCUGUAUUGAUUUAUAUACCUGGAUUACAUCAACCGUUUAAUCCUCACUUCAACACUCUGAGGUUUCAGCUUUCUGAGUCUCCCAGCUUAUUAAUGAACAUGAUUUCAUUAACUCCUGGCUGGCAGACCCCCAAACUGAGGCCAUGACUGGAGCCCAUUUGGGCCAGUCUCAUGGAACCACUUGCCGAACACCCAAAAGGUAAAAUAUCUGUUUAUCUUGGAAUGGAAGUUCUCACUCUUACAAGGUGUGCUGCUGGCAAUGCAGAAGGGCUGUCUUCCCCACGAUGAACUGGACGCUCUACUCCUCACCACCCAGAAACCUGAGAUGAAGGCGGGACUUAGCUCCCUGCUCUGGGCUUGUGGAUUUUCCCUUCCCCCAUGCUCCUCUGCCUUCCCUGGUGCCUAUCAGGGACAGGGAGCGAUUGAAAUUAUUGAUUCAAUCCGUUUAUCCUCCUACCCCGGUGCAUCUCGGCUGGACCACUGAUUCUAGGGCCGAGCCUCGGCACAGUCCGCUGGCUUCCUCCACUUGGUGCCGAGGGCAACUGGAGCUGCAGAAACUCCUGGGGAGUCAUCAACGAAGACCAAGGACUGGGCUGGCAAUGGACUCCGGUUCCCAAGCCAGCUGCAGCUACUGGAUCCAGGGAAAUUGUGACGCGGCCGGCUGUUCCGAAGGCCGGGCCCGUCAGCUUGAUCCACUGCAAAAGAGGCAGACUUGACUCUCAACCUCCAAGUCCAAAGUUCCUCCAAACCUGCAUCCUGAGCUCUUACAAGGAAUCUCUGUGGGAAUACUCCCUCCCAUAGUAUGGAAUAAGUCAUAGCCACAAGAAUGAAGACAUUGCUGUUCCUUGAGUGACAAUAAAAGCAUCAUCUUGGGGGCAAUUGUGACUGGACUUAUCGUAAAUGCCUUCCUCUUCUACUAGAUUCCUGAAGUUCUCCUGCCCGCCUGCAUUUAUUUCCCAAGAAUUCUGUGCAGCUGAAGUAAUGUGCAUGAAUAUUGCGUAACAUUCUGUGGACGGAUACCAUAUCGUAGAAAUAAUUUAAUUGACGACCUGUAAUGAAAAGAGCGCUGGAACAUUCUUGUGCUACUAAAAGUGAGAGUGAAGCGUGCAUUCAAAUCAUCACCAUCGCCAUAACCAUCACUCAAAUCUGCAAACCCAAGUCUGUGACAGAGGACCCUAACUUCAUCCAUACACCAACAGCAGCCCUCAAAUAUGAAGCAACAAGGCUUAGGUGCCCUUUAUAUUAUCAAUGUUAUAAUAGAAUAUUGCACAUAGUACCCUGCUAGCAUUUUUGGUACUUUAAUGCUAUGAUUGGGGUCCUUUCUUCCUUCCUUCCUCCCUUCCUUCCUUCCCUCCUUGCUU
This is a long non-coding RNA of Neofelis nebulosa (Clouded leopard), 1464 nucleotides long. RefSeq lists it as uncharacterized. NCBI's taxonomy places the organism in Eukaryota, Metazoa, Chordata, Mammalia, Carnivora, Felidae. The transcript is spliced from 4 exons. The record is from RefSeq and is a predicted model, not a curated record.